Long non-coding RNA from Vitis riparia (riverbank grape), 4993 nucleotides. RefSeq lists it as uncharacterized. NCBI's taxonomy places the organism in Eukaryota, Viridiplantae, Streptophyta, Magnoliopsida, Vitales, Vitaceae. The record is from RefSeq and is a predicted model, not a curated record. The transcript is spliced from 3 exons.
UACGUAUGUAUUUUAAAUCUUUUCCUGGUUUUAUGGAUGUAUUAAAUACUAGAAAAUAUAGACUAGCUGCAUUGAAGCUAGGUGUAAUAUAGGGCUGUUCAAACUAGAAAAACAUGUAGGAGCUCUUAGUGUGUUUCUUUCGUUCUACAGUUAGGGGUUUCUUUUAGAAACUAAUGUUAAGCCAAGCAUCUGGGUCCAAUCUCAGCUAUGUGGUUUUUGAAGAUAAUGUUAAAUGCUUCUUUAAUAAUUGAAAAUUUUCUUAACAAAAUCAUCAUUACUGAAGCCUUAGAACUAUUAGCUUACUGCUUACUACAAUGUUUAUCAGACUGUCCUUUUAGAACCAUCUCUGUGUACCCAUCCAAUAUGUUUUCAGUGAGAUUGCUACUUGAUUACAGCAAAUAAGGAAGAGUUUUCAAGAACAAAGAAGUUCAUCAUAGUAAAAAUAUUUCUGUAUUCCUAGAUUUAUAAGAUUGGGGAUUUUAGACCCAUGUUCUUAGCCAUUUAGGACUUUAUUAUUUUAUUAGCUAGUUAGCUUAAAUGCAGGAACAUCUCUUUGUGAUGAGGCACUUAAUCAUGAAAGUGAGAAUGCUGAAUGCAACCCCAUGAGAGAUGUUCAUGGAGGUAAGCGAUUUGUGUAUACUGCAAAACCUGUACCAAGUUCCUGUUUGGAGUUAGUGGAUAGGACUAUAAAGGUGCAUUCAAUUAUCAAAAAGGAGGACUGAAUAUUAAGGAGUCAAAGAAUUUAAGCCAUAAUACCGAAUGAAAGUAGAUUGAUUUUUUUCAUUCCCAGAUCUUCUUCCAUAAUGGUACGGAACAAUUGAAUCAUUGGAGUAUAUACACAAAUCACUUCAAAUGCUAUGAUGGUAACCUCAUCUUUUGGCAUGUGAUAUUUAGACAUAGAACCAAGUCCUUGUGAAUGGGCAGACAACCCAGGUGCUAUUGUUUUAUGGUGGUAGGACAAUUGCUUCCAUUACUGGCCUGAAAGUCACCAAAUUCUCCUUUAGGUGCUUCCACUGUGGCGGUUCCCAUCUUUCUCUGGUUUCCACAACCGUAACCCUUUCUCACAAGGUUACUUCAUCCAUUAAAAAAAAAAGGGUAAAAGGUGGUUGAAGAUCAGGAAUGCAUUCCACCCAAUAGAAUCAAAAGACGCAAAGCCCCUGAAGAAGUUAAGGUUCUUCCCCAGUAUCUUGUAAAAUCUUUGGGCAGAAAAAGAAUAGUAAUAAUAAUAUAUAUAUAUAUAUAUAUAAAUUGAUAGCAAAAUAUAACAGACAACCUUAAGGGUUGACAUACAGGAUUAUAGUUCACUGGACAUGGGCCAAUUGUGAAAAAAGCAGGCUGAUUGGGUCAUUCUUGUAUUUGGUUCCAGGGCCAAAAUUCUGAGCAGAUGGUUAGCAACCAAAACCAGUGAAUCCAGAGAUUGAAAACGUCGAGAAAUUAUGGUCUAUAUUGCAUGUCUAUCUAGGGGUGAGUCCAGUAUAAAGGAAUGUUCCUGAGAUGAAAUAGUGUUCAUUCUGACAAGUUCUUUGCCAUAGUUAAAUGUCCUAUCCUAAGAUACAGUAACCAAUCGGUGAAAUUGCAUAACGAUGAAAAGUGAGAAAAGUCCUUGAGAGAUGGCAUGAAUUUCUGAAUGCCUUUUCAUGCUAUCAACAUAUUACAAACUGAUUUUAGAUCUUAUUUUUACAUCUGCCCAUGAGAAGAGGGAAUUAGGAGGUGCAAGUUAGAAGGUGGGGCAGAAUGCUGAAUGGACUUGAAUUAAUAAGGGCUAGUUCUGGAUGUCAAACAUAAAUUGAACGUGUCCAUCUGUGUGCUCAAGCAAAUAUUGCAUAUAGAGGAAUCACUACUAUCACCAUGAUCAAUAGACACUGGAUUCAUUAAGAGUACAAGAAAAAUAAGUAUGUGCAUCAGAGCACUCCCAAAGACACCAUGGAUUCAUUUUGUACCCUACGCCUAAUACAAUGGAUAGGUUUAAUUCUCUGGGGAUUUCAAUUCACUAUGAGAUUAUUCAUAGUUCUAUAUUUUUAACUGUAGAUGUGAAGAGUGACGACAUGGGUUCUUAGGAUGGAAACAGCGCAUGAUUUGUCUUUGGAUAAGGCUUUGUUAAUGAUGACAAUGAUGGUGAUACAAGAAAGUAAGAAGACAACAAUUCUUUACUAGUGCAUUGCCAUUGGGUUUAGUAGGGCAGUUUUAGCCUAGAAUUGAUUUUAUCUCUCUUUGACUUUUUUAUGAAUUCAUUCGAAUUUUGUACAGCAUGUAAAAUUUUACUUGAGCAGCAUCUAACUGAUUUAACUUAGCCUCAACAUGGCCAUUCAUGGCUCAUGAGCAUCAGUUUCUAGAUUGUAAAUUUGUUAUUGUCAACAUUUUUAGAAGAAUGGUGGUCUUGUUUAAUAUUUUUUCAAGUCCAGUAACUGUUUUGACAAACAAGGUUUCUAAGUAUGCCACUUGACAAAUUCUAAUGAGUUUUUAUGUAUAGUUGAAGGGUUUGCUGGUCUAUAAUAACCAGCUCAUAAGCCAAGCUCUUUAACACUUUUCCAAUCGCACCUUCACCUUAAUAUUUUGAACAUAUAUAAAGAAAUAAGAAUUAUUUAUUUAAUUAAAGGGGAGAAAAACAAAGUCUUGAGCAAGAUUCUACUUUUCCAUACUUUUCAACUUGGCCUUUGGACAGCACUCACAACAUAAAAAAGAAAGCAAAAAGGAAAAGCUGCCUACCAUUACGGGGUCUACACCCUACAAAGCCCACCCACCUAACCAAAUCUUUUCCCCAUUUGUUACUUUUUUUUUUUUUUUUCUUUUUCUUUGUUUUGCACCCAUGUUAGAUUCUGUGCACAUUUAUACAUAGGCACUAGGAGCUAUCCCAGAACAAAAAGACAUCUCUCUUUCCUACUCUCUAAAGCGUGGGAAGUUGGGGACGCUUGAAAACAAUUUUCAAGCGUGUCGGUUUCCCUUCACUUUUGAAACAUCCAACUCAAACUUAGCUUUCCAUCCUCCUCUUCUGGAAAUAAAACAGGUGUCCCAUAGUAGCCAUCUGAUCACCAUCUGAUUGAUCAUUCAAUUUUGAUCCGAUUUGGUUUUGGCUGGGAAAGUAUGUGCCUUCCUCUGUGGGUUAAGAAAAAUGUAUCAACUGCUCACUCUUCUUUCUAUGUCUAUAACUGGAAUAGCAUAUCAAAUAAAACCCAGAAUUGAUACCUGAAUGCAUGUCUCUAUUAUGACCAGAAAGCAACUUCUCCUACUAAUUUAAGUUCUGUCACCAACCAUGUCCAUUCCUUCUGCCUCUUCUUGGAAAAAUGUUCACAACGGUUCUGGACUUAAUAAUAGGAUUGCCAAAAUUUAAUUGGAAGUCAAACAUGUUAUUUCACUAGGUGGUGAUUAUUGUUGCAAUCUUAAGGUUUCAGGUUCCAUUAUGGCUUUCUGCCAAUAGGAAAAGGAUGAUCAUGGUGUCUGUCAUUAUGAUCUAGAAGGUUUGAUUCCCGACAUUCUUAAAUUUUUCCAUGUAUGAAAACUGACCAGCGCUGUAUAGAGAAACAGGGUUGAUUAUAAUGGGUUUUGUCUGCUAAUCAUGGUUGUUCUUUUUCUUAGCUAUAAACAAAUCAAUUAAUCUAGAUCAUGUUUUCCACAUUGAAAGAGAUUGGGAUCAGGUUGAAACUAUUUCUGGAUUUCAACCUUUGUUGCUGCAUUAGCUGAAGACUGAAGCCGCUAAAGGUUAUGCACAAUCAUUGCUGCCAGGGACUCAAUCAUUAUGUUUAGGCUUUUUUUGUAAGUUUCUUCAAAGAGGAAUAAUUACCCAAAUCAAGUAGCUAAGAUGCUUUUGCAGUUGUGUUUAUCACAUAUCCAUUGAGGAAAAAGAUGGAUAGGUGAAUCCAAAAUGUUCCUGCAGAACCUUCGUGCAAGUCAGCGACACCAGUUAAUAUUGUUCCAUACUCGAUCACCAUGCAGGUGAAAGAUCCUCUCCCAUAUUCAAUUUAUAAUUGAGUUCUCCCCUACACUUUCUGCUCUUGUGUCACAGAGAUUAUACCAGUGUGCUUAUGACAUCCCAGAAACUUUUCAGAUGAAUUACCAAACACUCCUGAAAGGUCCUCUGAAUAACAGCGGAGCCAUUGAUGGAGCAACAGCGGCUAGGCAUAUCGGAGAAAUGCUUCUCAUUCUCAAAAAGUAGUGUUUUUUUAACACUUCUGGGGUAACCACAGCUCACUUAGGAGCCAAUGCCAUGACCAAGGUACCCACAUGCACACAACUCAUCAGUUCCCCUUCCUGUGGGGCUAUGUUGAAACUUGAGAACCAGCUCACACGUGUUGCUGUCAAUUAAAGGUAUAUGUGGCUCCCGCUUCAUAGAGCAGCAACUCAUGGUGGUGGGGUCUGAUUUGCGAUGUCCAUAUUACAGCUAAAACCCACUUGUGGCUGCAUAUCACAGAGUGGGAAAUCCCGAUGCCUUAUGUUAUCUAGAAACUGUUGAAAUACGUGGAAUUGACUGUUCAGGAGUUUGGCAUGGCAAAAACUUACUAGAUCUUCAAUUCUAUACGCAGCACAGAGAUGGGUUGAUACGGUCUACUGACUUCGUUGUAAAAUUGAAGCAUGGGCUCACUUCCCUGCCAUGUUGUUGGGAGACAAAUAACUUCGAUCUAUUGAAAGUGCUUAGCAUUGAAUUGGGUCCUGCUAUUAUCCUCAUGGUAUAUCGAUUUGGGCAAACCACAUUGGUUUAUCUAUAUUCCAGACACGUUUGCAUGUGGGAUAAAUGUUGUCCCUGAUAAACUCAAAUAGGAUAGACAUCUACCUCUUGAAUACCCGGAUACCAAGCCAGGAAAUAUGUCCUGAGACUUUUGUAAGUUGUCAGGGUUUAGCCCUUGGCAGAAUUGGUAUCAGUUCCAGGUUGGAGUGUUCAGUCACUCACUGGUGUAAUCUCAUGUCUCAUUUAGAAAUGUAUGCGAUUUUUUUGUAGUUUACUGCUACGAUCAUGACUAUUGACAAAUCUUAUUCAAUUUAUUAUUCUUGUUAUUUUUAA